Molecule: ribosomal RNA, 20 nt
Filed under: Lasiodiplodia theobromae
Lineage: Eukaryota; Fungi; Ascomycota; Dothideomycetes; Botryosphaeriales; Botryosphaeriaceae
Also listed under: 4 other names
Description: partial 18S ribosomal RNA
Source: RNAcentral
UACCUGCGGAAGGAUCAUUA